This 510-nucleotide ribosomal RNA is filed under the name uncultured bacterium. Its description in RNAcentral is "partial 16S ribosomal RNA". It matches the Rfam family "Bacterial small subunit ribosomal RNA", at positions 28 to 507 of the family's 1533-position model. The record is from RNAcentral.
GACGAACGCUGGCGGCGUGCCUAAUACAUGCAAGUCGAACGAAACUUUCUUACGCCGAAUGCUUGCAUUCACCGUAAGAAGUUGAGUGGCGGACGGGUGAGUAACACGUGGGUAUCCUGCCUAAAAGAAGGGGAUAACACUUGGAAACAGGUGCUAAUACCGUAUAUCUCUAAGGAUCGCAUGAUCCUUAGAUGAAAGAUGGUUCUGCUAUCGCUUUUAGAUGGACCCGCGGCGUAUUAACUAGUUGGUGGGGUAACGGCCUACCAAGGUGAUGAUACGUAGCCGAACUGAGAGGUUGAUCGGCCACAUUGGGACUGAGACACGGCCCAAACUCCUACGGGAGGCAGCAGUAGGGAAUCUUCCACAAUGGACGCAAGUCUGAUGGAGCAACGCCGCGUGAGUGAAGAAGGUCUUCGGAUCGUAAAACUCUGUUGUUAGAGAAGAACACGAGUGAGAGUAACUGUUCAUUCGAUGACGGUAUCUAACCAGCAAGUCACGGCUAACUACGUG